Molecule: small nucleolar RNA, 130 nt
Organism: Meriones unguiculatus (Mongolian gerbil)
Lineage: Eukaryota; Metazoa; Chordata; Mammalia; Rodentia; Muridae
Source: Ensembl
CCUGCUCCUGGAGAAAUUGCAACUGUGGCUGUCCUGUCAGGUGUGUGAGAAAGUUGGAGAGAGGAGAGAGACUAUGUCCAUGCUGAGUGCUCUGACCUAUAAACAUCUGAAUGAUCAGUAGCCUAACACU